Molecule: ribosomal RNA, 492 nt
Filed under: uncultured bacterium
Lineage: Bacteria
Description: partial 16S ribosomal RNA
Rfam family: Bacterial small subunit ribosomal RNA
Source: RNAcentral
AGUGAACGCUGGCGGUAGGCCUAACACAUGCCAGUCGAACGGAAGCACAGUAAGCUCUCGCUCUUACGGUUGGCGGGUGACGGACGGGUAAGGCAUACAUCGGAUUCUACUUUUUCUUGGAGAAUAACGUAAGACAACUUACGCUACUACAUCAUAUAUCCUACCGCUUGAAGCAGUGGUUCUUCGCACCUUUCCCGUUUCAUUUAGCUGGUGUCGCAUUAGCUAGUUGGCUAGGUAAAGGCCCACCAAGGCGACGAUGCGUAGCUGAUCUGAGAGGAUGAUCGGCCACACUGGAACUGAGACACGGUCCAGACUCCUACGGGAGGCAGCAGUAGGGAAUCUUGGGCAAUGGGCGAAAGCCUGAUGGAGCAACGCCGCGUGGGUGAAGAAGGUCUUCGGGUCGUAAAGCUCUGUUGUUGGGAAAGAAAAGAAGUGGGAUAAUACACCGCUGUUCUGACGGUACCCAAAGAAUAAGCACCGGCUAACUACGUG